Molecule: ribosomal RNA, 408 nt
Filed under: uncultured bacterium
Lineage: Bacteria
Description: partial 16S ribosomal RNA
Rfam family: Bacterial small subunit ribosomal RNA
Source: RNAcentral
GACGAACGCUGGCGGCGUGCUUAACACAUGCAAGUCGAACGAAGUGGCGAACGGGUGAGUAACGCGUAAUUAACCUGCCCUUCAGAGGGGGAAAACAGUUGGAAACGACUGCUAAUACCGCAUACUGAAGGAGGGGAUUGCGUCUGAUUAGCUAGUUGGAGGGGUAACGGCCCAACAAGGCGAUGAACAGUAGCCGGGCUGAGAGGGUUAACGGCCAAAUGGGGAAUGGGACAAUGCCCAGACUCCUACGGGAGGCAGCAGGGGGGAAUCUUCCGCAAUGGACGAAAGUCUGACGGAGCAACGCCGCGGGAGUGAUGACGGCCUUCGGGGUGUAAAGCUCUGUUAAUCGGGACGCGGUACCGGAAUAGAAAGCCACGGCUAACUACGUGCCAGCAGCCGCGGUAAUAC